UACCAGCAGCAGGAAUAUGUUGCAAAUUAAAACAUUCGCCAUGUUUGAAGACCUCUGGCGGCUUUUAAAGUGUUCCGCACUAGGAAGCUGGACUCCACCGAGAGUUUAAUGUCCAGUGAGUGAGUGACAGACGGGUCAAAAAAAAGCUCAAACUGAAGAUACUCGUCUCUUCUUAGACUGGUGCUGUCACUUGUCAAGACAGGCGGACUUUACACUGAGUAUAAGCCGCUACCGACGUAUCUGCUCUGAGAAGCCUCUCCCAAGAGAUUGACCCCUGCCUGCCCCUCCUCUCUUCCUCCAUGGCUCCACUGAAGCAUUCUGCUCAGAAAUGGGCUCUUCACUUAACACCACAGGAAUGUGUGCUGAAUGAAGCCUGGUUGUGGGGGAGGCUCUGCUCCCACAGCGAGGCAAUCGCUAUCACCAUAAACUACUGAUAAAAAGUGAGAGCUGUCAGAGCGGCUAACAAUUGGCCUGUGUCCUUUUAAACUUGACAUCCAGUUUGGAUGUACUGUAAUAGUGUGGACAUUGUUUGUGAGUGUCACAGGAAGUCAGGCAGCAACAGGAAAGGUGAGAAAAAUGUCAGGAAGACUGGGUUGCUGUGAGUCAAGGGUGUGGACAUAAUGAAAGGUUUUGGGGCUUGGAGUCUUAACAGUGAGUUAACUACUGUCACUCCCAAUGUGAAAUGAAAGUGAAUUAUGUGUCGCAAUUCAUGUUUGGAGAUAAAGCCUGUGGAUUUCUACUUAUUCUCACGGUAAUGCAAUCUCUAACAUCCCCUUCACCCCCACACUGUCCAUGUAAUGUGGGAUUAGGAGUUACAACAGAGGUGUUUUAGUUGCUGAAAAUAACCAAAGCAUUACUUCAGGCCCUUUUCUGCUGAGUGGGACAUUUUGGAGACAGACAAAAGUGAUUCAUUUCUCAGAAAGACUCUUGCAUCAUAGUUUUUCAUAGUCUAUAAAAGAGUUCAUCAGAAAAUAUCUUUACGUCACGUCAAAAGAUUUCUCAAUAUCCAUCUUGAACUUGACUGACAGUAUUGUAGCCUAGUCAUUUGGCAAAUCUGUUUUUUUUAUGAUCUUCCCUAGUAUCAACAGGUGUAUCAAUGACAUGUAAGCUGUAAAAUAUAUGCAAAUUGGCUGCAUGACGACAGCAUCUCAUUUGUGUUUCCAGAAAGCUCAUGACAGAUGUUUUACAACAACACAAGGCGCGACAGAUGACACUUCCAGUUGUGUUGUAAUUCAAGUGACAGCGACAUGUAUGGCCUGGGGUUAAAAAAAGUUUUCUGAUUGACCCCAAUUCACCUACUCCACCCCUCUCUUCAUUCCUGUUGGAUGAGUGCCAGCAAAGAGGCAGGGUGGGGCAUUCACGUCAUGCGUGAAGGAUUGUAUUUGGGUGAGACAAGUUGCUCACUAGUGUCUGUUUAGAAAAUCAUGUGACUAAUAGCUAUGUGAUUAUUAGUGUGUAGUUGUUUUAUACUCAGAUCAUACUGAGAUGCAAACACAAUGAGGUGUACAAGCAACCAGGUUAGUUGGUUUUGCUUGGCACAGCUAUCUGGAACAGUCAACCACAAAAAUCCUGCAAUAAAUAUGUCCUGUUCAAGUAUUGCUUAAA
Long non-coding RNA from Notolabrus celidotus (New Zealand spotty), 1605 nucleotides. RefSeq lists it as uncharacterized. The transcript is spliced from 2 exons. The record is from RefSeq and is a predicted model, not a curated record. Lineage: Eukaryota; Metazoa; Chordata; Actinopteri; Labriformes; Labridae.